RNAcentral lists this ribosomal RNA (465 nucleotides) under Vreelandella stevensii. RNAcentral describes it as "partial 16S ribosomal RNA". It matches the Rfam family "Bacterial small subunit ribosomal RNA", at positions 338 to 795 of the family's 1533-position model. The record is from RNAcentral. Lineage: Bacteria; Pseudomonadati; Pseudomonadota; Gammaproteobacteria; Oceanospirillales; Halomonadaceae.
CCUACGGGGGGCAGCAGUGGGGAAUAUUGGACAAUGGGCGAAAGCCUGAUCCAGCCAUGCCGCGUGUGUGAAGAAGGCCUUCGGGUUGUAAAGCACUUUCAGUGGGGAAGAAAGCCUUGGGGCUAAUACCCUCGAGGAAGGACAUCACCCACAGAAGAAGCACCGGCUAACUCCGUGCCAGCAGCCGCGGUAAUACGGAGGGUGCGAGCGUUAAUCGGAAUUACUGGGCGUAAAGCGCGCGUAGGCGGUCUGAUAAGCCGGUUGUGAAAGCCCCGGGCUCAACCUGGGUACGGCAUCCGGAACUGUCAGGCUAGAGUGCAGGAGAGGAAGGUAGAAUUCCCGGUGUAGCGGUGAAAUGCGUAGAGAUCGGGAGGAAUACCAGUGGCGAAGGCGGCCUUCUGGACUGACACUGACGCUGAGGUGCGAAAGCGUGGGUAGCAAACAGGAUUAGAUACCCCUGUAGUC